ACCAUGUGGUUUAAUUGGAUGCAACGCGAAGAACCUUACCUGGUCUUGACAUAUCUAGAAUCCUGCAGAGAUGCGGGAGUGCCUUCGGGAAUUAGAAUACAGGUGCUGCAUGGCUGUCGUCAGCUCGUGUCGUGAGAUGUUGGGUUAAGUCCCGCAACGAGCGCAACCCUUGUCCUUAGUUACCAGCGGGUUAAGCCGGGAACUCUAAGGAUACUGCCAGUGACAAACUGGAGGAAGGCGGGGACGACGUCAAGUCAUCAUGGCCCUUACGACCAGGGCUACACACGUGCUACAAUGGUAGGUACAGAGGGCAGCUACACAGCGAUGUGAUGCGAAUCUCAAAAAGCCUAUCGUAGUCCAGAUUGGAGUCUGCAACUCGACUCCAUGAAGUAGGAAUCGCUAGUAAUCGCGGAUCAGAAUGCCGCGGUGAAUACGUUCCCGGGCCUUGUACACACCGCCCGUCACACCAUGGGAGUUGAUUGCACCAGAAGUGGAUAGCUUAACCUUCGGGGAGGCGUUCACCACGGUGUGGUUGAUGACUGGGGUGAAGUCGUAACAAGGUA
This 563-nucleotide ribosomal RNA is filed under the name uncultured bacterium. RNAcentral describes it as "bacterial SSU rRNA". It matches the Rfam family "Bacterial small subunit ribosomal RNA", at positions 936 to 1498 of the family's 1533-position model. The record is from RNAcentral.